UAGGGAAUAUUGGACAAUGGGGGCAACCCUGAUCCAGCCAUGCCGCGUGAGUGAAGAAGGCCCUCGGGUUGUAAAGCUCUUUUGUCCGGAAAGAAAAGCUUCGGGUUAAUACCCCGGGGUUCUGACGGUACCGGAAGAAUAAGCACCGGCUAACUUCGUGCCAGCAGCCGCGGUAAUACGAAGGGUGCAAGCGUUACUCGGAAUUACUGAGCGUAAAGCGUGCGUAGGUGGUUGUUUAAGUCUGAUGUGAAAGCCCUGGGCUCAACCUGGGAAUGGCAUUGGAAACUGGGCAGCUAGAGUGCGGUAGAGGGUAGUGGAAUUCCCGGUGUAGCAGUGAAAUGCGUAGAGAUCGGGAGGAACAUCUGUGGCGAAGGCGACUGCCUGGACCAGCACUGACACUGAGGCACGAAAGCGUGGGGAGCAAACA
Molecule: ribosomal RNA, 427 nt
Filed under: uncultured bacterium
Lineage: Bacteria
Description: bacterial SSU rRNA
Rfam family: Bacterial small subunit ribosomal RNA
Source: RNAcentral